RNAcentral lists this ribosomal RNA (59 nucleotides) under Medicago truncatula (barrel medic). RNAcentral's name for it is "26S ribosomal RNA". It matches the Rfam family "Eukaryotic large subunit ribosomal RNA", at positions 1 to 57 of the family's 3401-position model. RNAcentral also lists the same sequence under 1 other name. Lineage: Eukaryota; Viridiplantae; Streptophyta; Magnoliopsida; Fabales; Fabaceae. The record is from RNAcentral.
UGAGACCUCAGGUCAGGCGGGGCUACCCGCUGAAUUUAAGCAUAUCAAUAAGCGGAGGA